AGUGAACGCUGGCGGUAGGCCUAACACAUGCAAGUCGAACGGCAGCACAGUAAGAGCUUGCUCUUACGGGUGGCGAGUGGCGGACGGGUGAGGAAUACAUCGGAAUCUACUUUUUCGUGGGGGAUAACGUAGGGAAACUUACGCUAAUACCGCAUACGACCUACGGGUGAAAGCAGGGGAGCUUCGGACCUUGCGCGAUUGAAUGAGCCGAUGUCGGAUUAGCUAGUUGGCGGGGUAAAGGCCCACCAAGGCGACGAUCCGUAGCUGGUCUGAGAGGAUGAUCAGCCACACUGGAACUGAGACACGGUCCAGACUCCUACGGGAGGCAGCAGUGGGGAAUAUUGGACAAAGGGCGCAAGCCUGAUCCAGCCAUACCGCGUGGGUGAAGAAGGCCUUCGGGUUGUAAAGCCCUUUUGUUGGGAAAGAAAAGCAGCAGGUUAAUACCCCGCUGUUCUGACGGUACCCAAAGAAUAAGCACCGGCUAACUUCGUG
Molecule: ribosomal RNA, 492 nt
Filed under: uncultured bacterium
Lineage: Bacteria
Description: partial 16S ribosomal RNA
Rfam family: Bacterial small subunit ribosomal RNA
Source: RNAcentral